This 509-nucleotide ribosomal RNA is filed under the name uncultured Clostridiaceae bacterium. RNAcentral describes it as "bacterial SSU rRNA". It matches the Rfam family "Bacterial small subunit ribosomal RNA", at positions 28 to 550 of the family's 1533-position model. Lineage: Bacteria; Bacillati; Bacillota; Clostridia; Eubacteriales; Clostridiaceae. The record is from RNAcentral.
GACGAACGCUGGCGGCGCGCCUAACACAUGCAAGUCGAACGAGCGAGAGAGAGCUUGCUUUCUCGAGCGAGUGGCGAACGGGUGAGUAACGCGUGAGGAACCUGCCUCGAAGAGGGGGACAACAGUUGGAAACGACUGCUAAUACCGCAUAAGCCCACGACUCGGCAUCGAGCAGAGGGAAAAGGAGCAAUCCGCUUUGAGAUGGCCUCGCGUCCGAUUAGCUAGUUGGUGAGGUAAUGGCCCACCAAGGCGACGAUCGGUAGCCGGACUGAGAGGUUGAACGGCCACAUUGGGACUGAGACACGGCCCAGACUCCUACGGGAGGCAGCAGUGGGGAAUAUUGCACAAUGGGGGAAACCCUGAUGCAGCGACGCCGCGUGGAGGAAGAAGGUCUUCGGAUUGUAAACUCCUGUUGUUGAGGAAGAUAAUGACGGUACUCAACAAGGAAGUGACGGCUAACUACGUGCCAGCAGCCGCGGUAAAACGUAGGUCACAAGCGUUGUCCGGAA